This 4918-nucleotide long non-coding RNA is filed under the name Canis lupus familiaris (dog). RNAcentral describes it as "lncRNA (ENSCAFG00000051210.1)". The record is from RNAcentral. Lineage: Eukaryota; Metazoa; Chordata; Mammalia; Carnivora; Canidae.
UUUACCACAGCUACUUUCCAUACAUUCAAAGCUGCUGCUGCCACUCAAAAGGCAGUACACUUCGGGAACCCACUGCUGAAGUCACUGCAGCACUCCAUGGUCCCAAGCCUGUGACUGGCAACAUGCAGUCCCAAUAUGUAGCCUGCACAUCUGCUGCUGCAGAGGAGGAAAGAAUGGUUUCCACCUCCUUUUCACCUCCUAGAUUUCAUGGCAGAACUCUGCUGUCAAGGGAAUCUGUGAAAUGUGGUUUGUGGGCUUCUAGCACCUGCAAAGAAAGGGAUAGAAGUGGGUAGCAAGAGCCAACCAAUACUAUCUAACAAAUGGGUGGGUGUUAAAGUCUUUCUAAAAGGAAGGUGUUGUCUACAUGGAGUAGUAACAUUGUGGAGAGCUAGCUAAGUCAGAAACACAAAAGGUGUCAUUUUAGCUGGGCAGCAGGUUAAGGUACCAGAUACUGGAUACCAAUCACAUGCAGUCAUCCCCAGAGGUGACUGGAGAAGCACUUGGAGUUGAUUCUUAGUUUGGCCUCCAGAAUGUUCUCACUGGAAUGAAAGCUGGAUGGACUAAUGGCAGUGAGGUAUCUGAGAAAACAUAGCCCCCAUUCAAAAGGGCUGCCAGAGGAAACGGUGCCCAUAGGGAAAUAGAGUUUCUAAAAAUGUGGCUUUGUUGGGAUCCCUGGGUGCGUCGGUGUUGACGCCUGCCUUCGGCCCAGGGCGCUGAUCCUGAAAAAUAAGCAAAUUAAUUUUAAAAGCUGAUCCUGAACAUCUCCCCUGUCAAAAACAAACCAAACCAGGCAUACUUAAAGUGGUCCAGACAGAUUUCCAAAGUAAUAGAAUAUUGCAGUGGCACAGGGAAAAGAGUUCAUCAUGAACAGAACUCAACUGGGAUAAGUACAGAGGUGACUGAGUAUUGCACAGGGAGAUUGAGGGACUAGGGAAGGGAAUGAGUAGGGGCUCCAUAGUCAGAAGCCAAAGAUUACAAAAGGCAGGAAGGGGGUUAGCCCAUAUGAAACCAUCUGGAUUUGCUAACUGGCACUUACCAAAGCUAGACUCCUACUCUCUCACAGAAACUGGGAAACAGGGGCCUUAUCUUCAGGUGGUGGCUGGAAUAAGCAACAAAUUCUUUAGACAGCCUUGAGUUUCACGGGCAGGCACUUUAAGGGAGACUGGGGUCUUACUAGGGCAGUGGUCAUGAGCUGCUGAAAACUACGUUAGUGUUUGUUCAAGUCUUCACAAGCCAAAUAAGGUUGAAUCAAGAAGAGGGCUCAGAGGAGCCUGGCUAGAGUUUAGAGAAAGAAUCUGUUACCAUUCAGAUGCCCACCCCUCCUGAGCUGAUUUCCAAAACAGAGGGACCAUUCUAACAAGACUGUUUAUGCUCACCAAACUACUGGCGUAGUUAGUGCAAAGAGAACCAGGAGGUGGAGCAGAGGUUCCCUGGCUUCUUCAGGACCAGAGGUCAGCAGGGAUUUGAGGGUGUGAGAGGCGGGCAAGACAGACUGAAGAUGACCAAAAGGCACGACUGAGAUUCUCACCCUUGGCGUCUCAAAGAGUCACACUGGCUGGCUGCUGCCACUAUGGAAAUCAGGGCCUCUCAGUCCUGGGAAGCGCCAGGCAUGACCAGCUCUGGCCCCUGAGGUCCUAGUCAGGGUGAGAUGUUGUUGAGACCUGGGCGACAGUGGUGGGGCACCCCCUGGGGGUGUGGGAGGAGGCACACCCAUUCAAGAAGAGGAAAGGUCCUGAGGUCUGAAGCAGAAGCAGGAAUGGUGCUUCAAGGUGAGCCUUAAUGUGUUCCAGUGUAGCACUGGAGAGGGGUCUGGCGCCACACUGUGGAGUGUUUCAGCUUACAGGGCCAAGGGAAAUGAAGACUUCAACCGGUGAACAAUACAAAGGCUUCAUGUAGAGAGGGCUACACCCUACAAUGGUGGAGCAGUAAAAUAGGAGGAGCCUGGCUCCCUGACACAUGAACCACCAAACUAGCCCUGGAUUACAGUACUUAACCAGAUCAUUAUAUGAGAGAUCAGUAAGCUUCUUUUUUAUUUAACCCACUGCUGUGUUGGGUCUCUACUACAGUGGCUGAACCUAUAGCCUAAUAAAGGUUAACCAAUAACGUUAUAACCAAUAACGUGUAUUGGUUAUCUUUCGCCACAACAAUGCUAACUAAUAAACCAUCCCCAAACUCAGUGAACUGGAAUACCGGUUCUCACAGGAUGGCUGGUCCAGCUGUACUUGAAUGCUCUGCUGGCUGGGUCAGCACUGCUUCUCCGUGCUAGUCUGCAGAUCAGCAGGGCUAGCUAGCUCUUUUCCACCUGGGUGGGCUCUGGGGCCCAGGCUGAAGAGGCAGCGGCAACCCGAGGGAAGCAUAUGAGGCCAACCAGAAACUUCAUUGGGCCUCUCCAAGCCUAGACACAGAACUGUCAUACUUUCAUUUCUGCCUAGUCCAUGGGUCCAAGUAAGUCACAUGGCCAAUCCCCGAGCCAGGGGACAGGAAAGUACACUCUGCCCACAGAGAGACACAGCAAGAGUGUGGGUGCAGGGAGGGCCAAUAAUCCUGUCUACUCAGGAUGUGACUGAGUCCUGGUUUAGAGACUACACACCAAGGCCCCGCUCUUCUAGGUGUCCCUGUAAAUGCAACAGAGUGAAAGAUAGCACCCAUCAAUGUGAAGGCCCCACCGCAGUUAUCUGUUAGGUCAGGAACCCUGACGAGGCAAGAAUCCCAUCUUCCUCUCCCCAAUGCCUAGUAGCGGACCCUGCCCACGUGAUGCCUCAGGGAUCUUACUGGAUGAAUUUUAGACCAUUUCUUCAUUCUCCACAUAUGAUUUCCUUAUGAAAUACAGACUGACCUCCUAAAGGUCAACACAUAGUACUAUGAGUUUGCCCCAUAGCCUGCAUAGGGACUGUGCCAUUAGGAGCAGGAAUUUGUACCUAGAUCCUGUCUACACCAAAAACUGUAUCCACUGCCUCCUACAGGGACCUCCAGAAGUAAGGGCUUCUACAAGUUAAACAUCAAAACAGGGUAGUGAGGGGAGCCUGGGUGGCUCAGUUGGUUGAGCGAUCUUACCUUAGGUCAUGAUCUCAGGGCCUGGGAUCAGCCUGUGUGGAGCUCUGCACUGAGUGGGGAGUUUCCUUGAGGAUUUUCUCUGUCCCUCUACCCCUCCCCUGACAUUCUCUCUCAAAAUACAUAAAUAAAUAAAUGAAUGAAUGGAUCUUAAACAACAGGGUAGUGAAAUUUCUUUCUCUAUAGGUCUUUUGAAACUGGAAAGAUUCUGAUUGCCUGAAAUAUCUUCAGAGGGAGGCUGUCAAAAGGCACGACUCUAGUGGGGGAUCUGCAUGGACUUGGGACAAUUUGAAGAACAGUGAAAUUGACCAUCAGAGCUCCCAUGGCUCCACAAGGUCCCUGGCCCCCUCAUCAUCUGUUUUGCUAGAUCUCAGGGCAAAAGCAGAACUGGCCCAAGAUGCUCUACCUUAAUGCUGCCUUUCCCUGCAGACUUCUCACUGCAAAGGAGAACCACUUGAAGAGAGCCAGGAUAAAUCCUAAAGAAUGCCACCAUCACCACUGAAUUCCAGACAUGGGCAUGUGGGUGGAAAAUAUAUUUUAGGGCAGUGACUCAUGGUAAGUUGCUUCCUCCAGUCCCUAAAUGGUACUAUUCAAUGUCAAGCUACCUCAGGCUCUGGCUGAUAAAAGCAGAGGGAGAGGGAACCUAGUGUCGUGAGCUGUGCUGGUCAGGAUACAUAUACAUAUACAUAUACAUAUACACAUCACAUACACAUACACAUACAUAUACAUAUACAUAUACACAUAUACAUACGUAAAUAUAUACAUACAUAUACGUUUUGUAUAACUUGCCCAAAUUUAUGAAGACCAUAUGUCUCAGUCACUGCUCUGUACGCUCCAAGUGAAAGAAAUCCAACUAAAAUAUGUUUGAACCAAAAAUGUCAUACAGUGAAUUAGCUUAUAUAACCAGGAAGCCUAAGUACUUAAAGCUGCCUGCAUCUAGGGUUCAAACAAGUCAUCUUCUCCCCAUCUAUCCCUCAACUGUGCUUUCCUUUGGCUUCAGGCUCUGAAGGACGCAGACUCCAAGACUGCAAACAUGGUCAUUCAUCAUUCUAACUCUACACCAAAGUAGAGAAAGCCCAUCCUCAAAAGUCAUCUUUUUGGGUUGCUUGGAGCUGUAUCUUGGAGGCGAACAAUAGUUACAUAAUCACAAUUCUGUAAACACUAUCAAUUAUCAGGAAAGAGUGGCAUAACUAAACCCCAAGAACGGACAGGGGUGUUAAAGAACUAACUCCUUGCCUGUGAUAUUAGGAAGUCCACAGACAGUGUCUAAAAUGGAUAAAUCCAAAGCUAGAAUUACCAAGAUAGGUGGGGAGAUAAGCACCAGAAGAUUCAGCUAGAAGUAAGCAUGCCCAGAGAGCUGGCUCAGGAGGGAAGGUGGGGAUGGUCAAGGGGAAGAAACUGCUGUGGGUCAUUAUGUUUCCUCACCAUUUGAUGUCAUACUAUUUGAACUGUAAACUAUAUAUAAUAAUAAUAACUAUUGGGGAAUUUUAAAAAUUCAUUAUUUUUGUCCAGCUUUAUUGAGGUAUAAUUGACAAAUUAAUAAUUAAAAAGAGAGCCAGGAUAAAUCCUAAAGAAUGCCACCAUCACCACUGAAUUCCAGACAUGGGCAUGUGGGUGGAAAAUAUAUUUUAGGGCAGUGAAGAUGACUAGCUAUAGGGCACCUAAUUCUAAUUGCCAUAUUUUAAAAGAGUGGGAAGAACCAACUUCCUACAACAGAAUCCAGGGGGAACAUUAGCUAUUCCACUUUUGAGAGAAAUGGUUGCAUUAGUCCUUGUUUGAUGACUUUAGUCAGCUGCCAAGUAAGGAUAUAUCUGGGGUUCAAAUAAGAAAGGCUCUCAAAAAAUGGAAAAAAAAAAAAAAGCUCCCA